Molecule: ribosomal RNA, 177 nt
Filed under: uncultured bacterium
Lineage: Bacteria
Description: partial 16S ribosomal RNA
Rfam family: Bacterial small subunit ribosomal RNA
Source: RNAcentral
GGAAUCGCUAGUAAUCGCGGAUCAGCACGCCGCGGUGAAUACGUUCCCGGGCCUUGUACACACCGCCCGUCACACCAUGGAAGUCUGCAAUGCCCGAAGCCGGUGGCCUAACCACUUAUGUGGAAGGAGCCGUCUAAGGCAGGGCAGAUGACUGGGGUGAAGUCGUAACAAGGUAGC